GUGGAUGUUUUCAAGGUUGGAAAUAAAUGCAUAUAACCUUCUGCAUCUAAAUACAAUCAUGUUUCAUUCCGGAAUACUUCAACCAGGUUAUUAUUCGCAUGAUAGACCUGAGUAUAUGAAUUAUGGAGGUAUUGGGGCCACUAUCGGUCAUGAAAUCGCACAUGGAUUUGAUGAUAUAGG
Long non-coding RNA from Ruditapes philippinarum (Manila clam), 180 nucleotides. RefSeq lists it as uncharacterized. The transcript is spliced from 3 exons. Lineage: Eukaryota; Metazoa; Mollusca; Bivalvia; Venerida; Veneridae. The record is from RefSeq and is a predicted model, not a curated record.